Molecule: ribosomal RNA, 688 nt
Filed under: Paenisporosarcina sp. B2955_1
Lineage: Bacteria; Bacillati; Bacillota; Bacilli; Caryophanales; Caryophanaceae
Description: bacterial SSU rRNA
Rfam family: Bacterial small subunit ribosomal RNA
Source: RNAcentral
GCUUGCUUCUUCUGAUUUUAGCGGCGGACGGGUGAGUAACACGUGGGCAACCUACCUUGUAGAUUGGGAUAACUCCGGGAAACCGGGGCUAAUACCGAAUAAACCAUUUUGCUUCAUGGCAAGAUGUUGAAAGGCGGCUUCGGCUGUCACUACUAGAUGGGCCCGCGGCGUAUUAGCUAGUUGGUAGGGUAAUGGCCUACCAAGGCGACGAUACGUAGCCGACCUGAGAGGGUGAUCGGCCACACUGGGACUGAGACACGGCCCAGACUCCUACGGGAGGCAGCAGUAGGGAAUCUUCCACAAUGGACGAAAGUCUGAUGGAGCAACGCCGCGUGAGUGAAGAAGGUUUUCGGAUCGUAAAACUCUGUUGUAAGGGAAGAACACGUACGAGAGUAACUGCUCGUACCUUGACGGUACCUUAUUAGAAAGCCACGGCUAACUACGUGCCAGCAGCCGCGGUAAUACGUAGGUGGCAAGCGUUGUCCGGAAUUAUUGGGCGUAAAGCGCGCGCAGGCGGUUCUUUAAGUCUGAUGUGAAAGCCCACGGCUCAACCGUGGAGGGUCAUUGGAAACUGGAGAACUUGAGUACAGAAGAGGAAAGCGGAAUUCCACGUGUAGCGGUGAAAUGCGUAGAGAUGUGGAGGAACACCAGUGGCGAAGGCGGCUUUCUGGUCUGUAACUGACGCUGA